GGAGUUUGGUCCGUGUCUCAGUACCAAUGUGGGGGACCUUCCUCUCAGAACCCCUACUGAUCGUCGGCUCGGUGGGCCGUUACCCCGCCGACUGCCUAAUCAGACGCAUCCCCAUCCCUUACCGAUGAAUCUUUGCUCCUCGUUAGAUGCCCGCAAAGGAGAACAUAGGGCAUUAAUCCGACUUUCGCCGGGCUAUUCCCUAGUAAGGGGAAGGUUGGAUACGCGUUACUCACCCGUGCGCCGGUCGCCAUCAAAGUCAGCAAGCUGACUCCAUGAUGCCCCUCGACUUGCAUGUGUUAAGCCUGUAGCUAGCGUUCAUC
RNAcentral lists this ribosomal RNA (320 nucleotides) under uncultured Prevotella sp. Its description in RNAcentral is "partial 16S ribosomal RNA". Lineage: Bacteria; Pseudomonadati; Bacteroidota; Bacteroidia; Bacteroidales; Prevotellaceae. The record is from RNAcentral.